RNAcentral lists this ribosomal RNA (440 nucleotides) under uncultured bacterium. RNAcentral describes it as "partial 16S ribosomal RNA". It matches the Rfam family "Bacterial small subunit ribosomal RNA", at positions 338 to 795 of the family's 1533-position model. The record is from RNAcentral.
CCUACGGGUGGCAGCAGUGGGGGAUAUUGCACAAUGGGGGAAACCCUGAUGCAGCGACGCCGCGUGUGGGAAGACGGUCCUCUGGAUGUUAAACCACUGUCUCCAGGGACGAAGUUGCCGGUACCUGGGGAUGAAGCUCCGGUAAACUACGUGCCAGCAGCCGCGGUAAUACGUAGGGAGCGGGCGUUGUCCGGAAUUACUGGGUGUAAAGGGAGCGUAGGCGGGGAUGCAGGUUGAUGUGAAAACCUACCGGUUCAACAGGGAGUUGCACUUAAAACUGUAGUUCUUGAGUAAAGUAGAGGCAGGCGGAAUUCUUAGUGUAGCGGUGAAAUGCGUAGAUAUUAGGAGGAACACCAGUGGCGAAGGCGGCCUGCUGGGCUUUUACUGACGCUGAGGCUCGAAAGUGUGGGGAGCAAACAGGAUUAGAUACCCGGGUAGUC